This 742-nucleotide ribosomal RNA is filed under the name uncultured bacterium. RNAcentral's name for it is "bacterial SSU rRNA". It matches the Rfam family "Bacterial small subunit ribosomal RNA", at positions 8 to 796 of the family's 1533-position model. The record is from RNAcentral.
AGAGUUUGAUCAUGGCUCAGAACGAACGCUGGCGGCAGGCUUAACACAUGCAAGUCGAGCGCUGUAGCAAUACAGAGCGGCGCACGGGUGAGUAACACGUGGGAACGUGCCCUAUGGUUCGGAAUAACUCAGGGAAACUUGAGCUAAUACCGGAUAAGCCCUUACGGGGAAAGAUUUAUCGCCAUUGGAGCGGCCCGCGUCCGAUUAGCUAGUUGGUGAGGUAAAAGCUCACCAAGGCGACGAUCGGUAGCUGGUCUGAGAGGACGACCAGCCACACUGGGACUGAGACACGGCCCAGACUCCUACGGGAGGCAGCAGUGGGGAAUCUUGGACAAUGGGGGAAACCCUGAUCCAGCCAUGCCGCGUGAGUGAUGAAGGCCCUAGGGUUGUAAAACUCUUUCGGCGGGGACGAUAAUGACGGUACCCGCAGAAGAAGCUCCGGCUAACUUCGUGCCAGCAGCCGCGGUAAUACGAAGGGGGCUAGCGUUGUUCGGAAUUACUGGGCGUAAAGCGCGCGCAGGCGGUCCUUCAAGUCAGAGGUGAAAGCCCAGAGCUCAACUCUGGAACGGCCUUUGAGACUAGAGGACUUGGGUACGGGAGAGGUGAGUGGAAUUCCGAGUGUAGAGGUGAAAUUCGUAGAUAUUCGGAAGAACACCAGUGGCGAAGGCGGCUCACUGGCCCGUUACCGACGCUCAGGCGCGACAGCGUGGGGAGCAAACAGGAUUAGAUACCCUAGUAGUCC